RNAcentral lists this unclassified non-coding RNA (224 nucleotides) under uncultured Gammaproteobacteria bacterium. RNAcentral's name for it is "contains 16S-23S intergenic spacer region". The record is from RNAcentral. Lineage: Bacteria; Pseudomonadati; Pseudomonadota; Gammaproteobacteria.
UCCGGUUUGUCACCGGCAGUCCCAUUAGAGUGCUCAACUGAAUGUGGCAACUAAUGGCAAGGGUUGCGCUCGUUGCGGGACUUAACCCAACAUCUCACGACACGAGCUGACGACAGCCAUGCAGCACCUGUGUUACGGCUCUCUUUCGAGCACCCUCACAUCUCUAUGAGGUUCCGUACAUGUCAAGGGUAGGUAAGGUGGGGAUGACGUGACACGCAAUAACA